UAAACUACGAUUAGAUACCCUAUUAUUUUAAAUGUAAGAUUAUCCAAGGUAGUAAUAGUUUUGUUCUUUAAACCUAAAGAAUUUGGCGGUGUUUUAGUCUAUUCAGAGGAAUUUGUUUCGUAAUCGAUAAUCCUCGUUUUAUCUUUCUUUAUUUUGUUAAUCAGUAUGUAUACCGCCGUUAUAAGUUUAUUUUUUUAGAAUAUUUACUUUGAAUUUUAUUAAAUUGUAUUUCAGGUCAAGGUGCAGCUAAUAUUAAAGUGUAAAUGAGUUACAAUACAAAUUGUGUAUACGUAUAUGAAUAUUAUAAUGUCAUUGAAGGUGGAUUUGUUGGUAAUUUUUUGUAUAGUAAAAAUUUGAUUUUGGCUCUAAAAUGAGUACACAUCG
RNAcentral lists this ribosomal RNA (384 nucleotides) under Staelonchodes amaurops. RNAcentral's name for it is "partial 12S ribosomal RNA". The record is from RNAcentral. Lineage: Eukaryota; Metazoa; Arthropoda; Insecta; Phasmatodea; Lonchodidae.